GACGAACGCUGGCGGCGUGCCUAAUACAUGCAAGUCGAACGCUGAAGGAGGAGCUUGCUUCUCUGGAUGAGUUGCGAACGGGUGAGUAACGCGUAGGUAACCUGCCUGGUAGCGGGGGAUAACUAUUGGAAACGAUAGCUAAUACCGCAUAAUAGUAGAUGUUGCAUGACAUUUGCCUAAAAGGUGCAAUUGCAUCACUACCAGAUGGACCUGCGUUGUAUUAGCUAGUUGGUGGGGUAACGGCUCACCAAGGCGACGAUACAUAGCCGACCUGAGAGGGUGAUCGGCCACACUGGGACUGAGACACGGCCCAGACUCCUACGGGAGGCAGCAGUAGGGAAUCUUCGGAAAUGGACGGAAGUCUGACCGAGCAACGCCGCGGGAGUGAAGAAGGGUUUCGGAUCGUAAAGCUCUGUUGUAAGAGAAGAACGAGUGUGAGAGUGGAAAGUUCACACUGUGACGGUAGCUUACCAGAAAGGGACGGCUAACUACGUG
Molecule: ribosomal RNA, 495 nt
Filed under: uncultured bacterium
Lineage: Bacteria
Description: partial 16S ribosomal RNA
Rfam family: Bacterial small subunit ribosomal RNA
Source: RNAcentral